UAUGGCGGACCGGCGCACGGUGAGUAACGCGUAUCCAACCUAGCCCUUUACUUAUGGGACGAGCCCGUCGAAAGGCGGAUUAAUACCGUAUGUUGUCAUGUUGAUGCAUAUUUUCAUGACCAAGGGCUUCGGCCGGUAAAGGAUGGGGAUGCGUCUGAUUAGCUUGCCGGCGGGGUAACGGCCCACCGGGGCGACGAUCAGUAGGGGUUCUGAGAGGAAGGUCCCCCACAUUGGAACUGAGACACGGUCCAAACUCCUACGGAAGGCAGCAG
Molecule: ribosomal RNA, 272 nt
Filed under: uncultured bacterium
Lineage: Bacteria
Description: partial 16S ribosomal RNA
Rfam family: Bacterial small subunit ribosomal RNA
Source: RNAcentral